Molecule: ribosomal RNA, 513 nt
Filed under: uncultured bacterium
Lineage: Bacteria
Description: partial 16S ribosomal RNA
Rfam family: Bacterial small subunit ribosomal RNA
Source: RNAcentral
GAUGAACGCUGGCGGCGUGCCUAAUACAUGCAAGUCGAACGAAACUUCUUUAUCACCGCGUGCUUGCACUCACCGAUAAAGAGUUGAGUGGCGAACGGGUGAGUAACACGUGGGCAACCUGCCCAAAAGAGGGGGAUAACACUUGGAAACAGGUGCUAAUACCGCAUAACCAUAGUUACCGCAUGGUAACUAUGUAAAAGGUGGCUAUACUACCGCUUUUGGAUGGGCCCGCGGCGCAUUAGCUAGUUGGUAGGGUAAAGGCUUACCAAGGCAAUGAUGCGUAGCCGAAUUGAGAGGUUGAUCGGCCACAUUGGGACUGAGACACGGCCCAAACUCCUACGGGAGGCAGCAGUAGGGAAUCUUCCACAAUGGGCGAAAGCCUGAUGGAGCAACGCCGCGUGGGUGAAGAAGGUCUUCGGAUCGUAAAACCCUGUUGUUAGAGAAGAAAGUGCGUGAGAGUAACGGUUCACGUUUCGACGGUAUCUAACCAGAAAGCCACGGCUAACUACGUGC